This 46-nucleotide non-coding RNA is filed under the name Schistosoma mansoni. Lineage: Eukaryota; Metazoa; Platyhelminthes; Trematoda; Strigeidida; Schistosomatidae. The record is from RNAcentral.
CCUUAACCGAGGAGUCCCAUAAUAGGACGAAACGGCCGUCCAGUGC